This 254-nucleotide ribosomal RNA is filed under the name uncultured bacterium. Its description in RNAcentral is "partial 16S ribosomal RNA". It matches the Rfam family "Bacterial small subunit ribosomal RNA", at positions 524 to 776 of the family's 1533-position model. The record is from RNAcentral.
UACAGAGGGUGCAAGCGUUGCUCGGAAUCAUUGGGCGUAAAGGGCAGGUAGGUGGUCUUGUUUGUCUGUUGGUGAAAGCCCGAGGCUCAACCUCGGAAUUGCGCCUGAAACUACAUGGCUAGAGUACUGGAGAGGGUAGCGGAAUUCAUGGUGUAGCAGUGAAAUGCGUAGAUAUCAUGAGGAACACCAGAGGCGAAGGCGGCUACCUGGACAGUUACUGACGCUCAGGCACGAAAGCGUGGGGAGCAAAAGGG